RNAcentral lists this ribosomal RNA (491 nucleotides) under uncultured bacterium. Its description in RNAcentral is "partial 16S ribosomal RNA". It matches the Rfam family "Bacterial small subunit ribosomal RNA", at positions 29 to 507 of the family's 1533-position model. The record is from RNAcentral.
GUGAACGCUGGCGGUAGGCCUAACACAUGCAAGUCGAACGGCAGCACAGUAAGAGCUUGCUCUUACGGGUGGCGAGUGGCGGACGGGUGAGGAAUACAUCGGAAUCUACUUUUUCGUGGGGGAUAACGUAGGGAAACUUACGCUAAUACCUCAUACGACCUACGGGUGAAAGCAGGGGAUCUUCGGACCUUGCGCGAUUGAAUGAGCCGAUGUCGGAUUAGCUAGUUGGCGGGGUAAAGGCCCACCAAGGCGACGAUCCGUAGCUGGUCUGAGAGGAUGAUCAGCCACACUGGAACUGAGACACGGUCCAGACUCCUACGGGAGGCAGCAGUGGGGAAUAUUGGACAAUGGGCGCAAGCCAGAUCCAGCCAUACCGCGUGGGUGAAGAAGGCCUUCGGGUUGUAAAGCCCUUUUGUUGGGAAAGAAAAGCAGCAGGUUAAUACCCCGCUGUUCUGACGGUACCCAAAGAAUAAGCACCGGCUAACUUCGUG